Long non-coding RNA from Cyprinus carpio (common carp), 1280 nucleotides. The record is from Ensembl. Lineage: Eukaryota; Metazoa; Chordata; Actinopteri; Cypriniformes; Cyprinidae.
AUGAGAGGUAAUUCCUUUUGUGCUGAGGUGGAUAAAAUCUCACUGCACAUAGCCUACUACUUCAGUGCCCUCAAGAAUUCUGUGGUGUACGAACCUCCUCUCCAAGAAAAGAAAAUGCAGAGAAGACUCACCACUCGGCAGGCCUUGGAAAUGAUCCUGAGUGAAGUAAACCCUUGUGACUCAGAUGGAGAAGACAUAGAACUUCAGCCGGAUUCGGACUCAGAGCUGUCUGAUCUGUCUUCAGAUGAGGAGACUGCUCCUCAACCAAAAAAGAGAGCCCGUUUGGGGACUGACCUGACAGAGACAGCGAAAGAUGGCACAGUGUGGUGUGAAGAACAGGUGGGGACGCGUCUCCCUUUCACCCCAAUCAAAGCGUAUGCUGCAGGUCUUUUGUGGUUCUAUGUUUGUGUUUCUAAUUUUUUUAGAAUCAACACCGCCAAGUGUGUCAUUGUGUCAUUGUGUGUAAAAGUGCUAUGAAAAUAACAAUUUAUCUUAUUUAUUAGGUGUCUACUGACGCUGACGGCGUAUGCGCCCAAACGGAAGAAGACCGUCUACAUUCUUAGCAGCAUGCACAGCGUGAUUCAGACUGAUAAUACCACCAAAAGGAAGCCAAACACUGUCACCCUUUACAACACCACAAAGUGCGGCGUGGAUGUGAUGGACCAGAUGGUGCGGGAGUACACUGUCCGUACAGGGACACGGCGCUGACCAGUUGCCGUGUUCUAUAACAUGAUUGACAUGGCAGCACUGAAUGCACAUGUGCUGUAUCAAGCAUGCACCGGAAGGCAGGAAAGACGGGUGGACUUCCUGGUGGAGCUUGCAAGAGAGUUGGCUAACUCUCAUAUGUGUGCGAAGAAGGCAAGAAAAGAACAAUUGCUUCGGACACAACCCUCCACACCUAGCCCUGGAAAAAGAGCCAUGUGUCAGGUCAAACACCAAUGCAAGAACAAUCAUGCCACUGUGCGAUGUGUUCACUGCUACAGAUACACAUGUGGUAAAUGCAGACGGGAGAUACCAUGGCAGUGCCAGGAUUGUGAGUGAUUGCUGGAAUGUACUCACUCACUUUUUAAUAUUAUUUGUAAAUAUGUGUACAAAUGGUUGGUUUCUUUAUUUUAUUUUGUACUAUUUUAUCAAAUCUCAGCAACAAAGGAAAAAAAAACAUGUGUGUUGAUUUCUCCCUAAGAUGGCAAAGUGAAACACAAGUUUCCUUGAAGUGGCUCAGCAUGGCCCCACAUUGUUUACAUAAUAAAAGCAACUGUUCACAGCUGAUUAAGGAUAUU